This 254-nucleotide ribosomal RNA is filed under the name uncultured bacterium. RNAcentral describes it as "partial 16S ribosomal RNA". It matches the Rfam family "Bacterial small subunit ribosomal RNA", at positions 524 to 777 of the family's 1533-position model. The record is from RNAcentral.
UACAGAGGUCUCAAGCGUUGUUCGGAUUCAUUGGGCGUAAAGGGUGCGUAGGUGGCGCCGUAAGUCAGGUGUGAAAUUUCGGAGCUUAACUCCGAAACUGCAUUUGAUACUGCGGUGCUUGAGGACUGGAGAGGAGACUGGAAUUUACGGUGUAGCAGUGAAAUGCGUAGAGAUCGUAAGGAAGACCAGUGGCGAAGGCGGGUCUCUGGACAGUUCCUGACACUGAGGCACGAAGGCCAGGGGAGCAAAACGGG